RNAcentral lists this ribosomal RNA (253 nucleotides) under uncultured bacterium. RNAcentral's name for it is "partial 16S ribosomal RNA". It matches the Rfam family "Bacterial small subunit ribosomal RNA", at positions 524 to 776 of the family's 1533-position model. The record is from RNAcentral.
UACGAAGGGGGCUAGCGUUGUUCGGAUUUACUGGGCGUAAAGCGCACGUAGGCGGAUCGUUAAGUCGGGGGUGAAAUCCUGGAGCUCAACUCCAGAACUGCCUUCGAUACUGGCGAUCUUGAGUCCGGAAGAGGUGAGUGGAACUCCUAGUGUAGAGGUGGAAUUCGUAGAUAUUAGGAAGAACACCGGUGGCGAAGGCGGCUCACUGGCUCAUUUCUGACGCUCAGGCGCGACAGCGUGGGGAUCAAACAGG